This 304-nucleotide ribosomal RNA is filed under the name uncultured bacterium. RNAcentral's name for it is "partial 16S ribosomal RNA". It matches the Rfam family "Bacterial small subunit ribosomal RNA", at positions 506 to 809 of the family's 1533-position model. The record is from RNAcentral.
CAGCAGCAGCCGCGGUAAUACGGAGGAUCCAAGCGUUAUCCGGAAUCAUUGGGUUUAAAGGGUCCGUAGGCGGUCUUGUAAGUCAGUGGUGAAAGCCCAUCGCUCAACGGUGGAACGGCCAUUGAUACUGCAGGACUUGAAUUAUUGGGAAGUAACUAGAAUAUGUAGUGUAGCGGUGAAAUGCUUAGAGAUUACAUGGAAUACCAAUUGCGAAGGCAGGUUACUACCAAUUGAUUGACGCUGAUGGACGAAAGCGUGGGUAGCGAACAGGAUUAGAUACCCGCGUAGUCCCUGUCUCUUAUAA